UAAACGAUGUCUACUAGUUGUCGGGUCUUAAUUGACUUGGUAACGCAGCUAACGCGUGAAGUAGACCGCCUGGGGAGUACGGUCGCAAGAUUAAAACUCAAAGGAAUUGACGGGGACCCGCACAAGCGGUGGAUGAUGUGGAUUAAUUCGAUGCAACGCGAAAAACCUUACCUACCCUUGACAUGUACGGAAUCCUGAAGAGAUUUGGGAGUGCUCGAAAGAGAACCGUAACACAGGUGCUGCAUGGCUGUCGUCAGCUCGUGUCGUGAGAUGUUGGGUUAAGUCCCGCAACGAGCGCAACCCUUGUCAUUAGUUGCUACGAAAGGGCACUCUAAUGAGACUGCCGGUGACAAACCGGAGGAAGGUGGGGAUGACGUCAAGUCCUCAUGGCCCUUAUGGGUAGGGCUUCACACGUCAUACAAUGGUACAUACAGAGGGCCGCCAACCCGCGAGGGGGAGCUAAUCCCAGAAAGUGUAUCGUAGUCCGGAUUGGAGUCUGCAACUCGACUCCAUGAAGUUGGAAUCGCUAGUAAUCGCGGAUCAGCAUGUCGCGGUGAAUACGUUCCCGGGUCUUGUACACACCGCCCGUCACACCAUGGGAGCGGGUUCUGCCAGAAGUAGUUAGCCUAACCGCAGGGGGGGCGAUUACCACGGCAGGGUUCGUGACUGGGGUGAAGUCGUAACAAGGUAACC
RNAcentral lists this ribosomal RNA (693 nucleotides) under uncultured Herbaspirillum sp. Its description in RNAcentral is "bacterial SSU rRNA". It matches the Rfam family "Bacterial small subunit ribosomal RNA", at positions 803 to 1501 of the family's 1533-position model. Lineage: Bacteria; Pseudomonadati; Pseudomonadota; Betaproteobacteria; Burkholderiales; Oxalobacteraceae. The record is from RNAcentral.